CCUACGGGAGGCAGCAGUGAGGAAUAUUGGACAAUGGGCGCAAGCCUGAUCCAGCCAUGCCGCGUGCAGGAUGACGGUCCUAUGGAUUGUAAACUGCUUUUGUACAGGAAGAAACAGUUCUACGUGUAGAACCUGACGGUACUGUAAGAUAAGAUUCG
RNAcentral lists this ribosomal RNA (158 nucleotides) under uncultured bacterium. Its description in RNAcentral is "partial 16S ribosomal RNA". It matches the Rfam family "Bacterial small subunit ribosomal RNA", at positions 338 to 495 of the family's 1533-position model. The record is from RNAcentral.